GAUGAACGCUGGCGGCGUGCCUAAUACAUGCAAGUCGAGCGAACAGACGAGGAGCUUGCUCCUCUGACGUUAGCGGCGGACGGGUGAGUAACACGUGGAUAACCUACCUAUAAGACUGGGAUAACUUCGGGAAACCGGAGCUAAUACCGGAUAAUAUAUUGAACCGCAUGGUUCAAUAGUGAAAGACGGUUUUGCUGUCACUUAUAGAUGGAUCCGCGCCGCAUUAGCUAGUUGGUAAGGUAACGGCUUACCAAGGCAACGAUGCGUAGCCGACCUGAGAGGGGGAUCGGCCACCCUGGAACUGGGACACGGUCCAGACUCCUAAGGGAGGCAGCAGUAGGGAAUCUUCCGGAAUGGGCGGAAGCCUGACGGAGCAAAGCCGCGUGAGUGAUGAAGGUCUUCGGAUCGUAAAACUCUUUUAUUAGGGAAGAACCAAUGUGUAAGUAACUAUGCACGUCUUGACGGUAACUAAUCAGAAAGCCACGGCUAACUACGUG
RNAcentral lists this ribosomal RNA (497 nucleotides) under uncultured bacterium. RNAcentral describes it as "partial 16S ribosomal RNA". It matches the Rfam family "Bacterial small subunit ribosomal RNA", at positions 28 to 507 of the family's 1533-position model. The record is from RNAcentral.